UACAGAGACUGCAAGCGUUAUUCGGAUUCACUGGGCGUAAAGGGUGCGCAGGCGGCCGUGUGUGUCAGGUGUGAAAGCCCGGGGCUUAACCCCGGAAUUGCGCCUGAAACUACAUGGCUAGAGCAUUGGAGAGGGUAGCAGAAUUCAUGGUGUAGCAGUGAAAUGCGUAGAUAUCAUGAGGAAUACCAGAGGCGAAGGCGGCUACCUGGACAAUUGCUGACGCUCAGGCACGAAAGCGUGGGGAGCAAAAGGG
Molecule: ribosomal RNA, 253 nt
Filed under: uncultured bacterium
Lineage: Bacteria
Description: partial 16S ribosomal RNA
Rfam family: Bacterial small subunit ribosomal RNA
Source: RNAcentral